This is a long non-coding RNA of Lolium perenne, 713 nucleotides long. RefSeq lists it as uncharacterized. NCBI's taxonomy places the organism in Eukaryota, Viridiplantae, Streptophyta, Magnoliopsida, Poales, Poaceae. The record is from RefSeq and is a predicted model, not a curated record.
UAACACGGUCGACGCCAGGCACAAGAUCUUCCUGGUGACUCCAUGACGACGAGCACGGUGUGCGCGAGCGCAAUGGUUAAUAUGGCGACUACCGGCGCGGGAACUCCGGCGUGCAGGUCUUAGUAAGUGCAGGUGGUGUUUCCGGCUAGCGGCGAGUCCAGCUGCCUUCUACGUUGCCUCAUCUGGUAUGAAUUGAAUUUCUUCGUCAUCAACUGCUGAGGUAUUGUGCUUAAAACAACACUUUCAGAAAUGGCCAUCGUUACUCUAGGCAGCAUCCAGUUUGUUGGCCUGACGGUUAGCCGGUUUUCAGAUCAGAUUAGCAGUGCCAAUUGAGAUGACACGAAGCUGAUGCAAUGUAAAGUUUAGGAUGCAACAAGGGUGGCACUAGCACUGCCAAAGUAAAUAAGAACAGGGGCCCCUCCCGCAUGGUUUCGGUGAGCUUGGAUAAUGAAAACAUUCGACCUUUACUGAACUUAUUUCAUUCAGUAAAAAUAUGUGAAUUGAGGACUACAUUGGUUCUCUUUCCUGUGGGUGGAGUAUUGUUUUUAUGCAUGGCAUUCGUUUUAAAGGAAUGCCUAGGCGUUAUUUUUCCUCAACUGAACUAUUUUGUAGCUUCAGUUAAGUUUUGAUUUGUCCCUACAUUCAUGUUCAUAGAGAAAUUGUAUUAUCAUGUCCAUCUAGAGUAUGGUGCUUUGUUGAGGGUUUAGGAAGUU